GGGGUGGUAGCUCAGGGGUCAAGAGCAGCGGCCUUAUAAGCCGUGUGUCGUGAGUUCGAUUCUCACUCGCCCCA
RNAcentral lists this transfer RNA (74 nucleotides) under Lachnospiraceae bacterium. RNAcentral's name for it is "tRNA-Ile". It matches the Rfam family "tRNA". Rfam says of the family: Transfer RNA (tRNA) molecules are approximately 80 nucleotides in length. The record is from RNAcentral. Lineage: Bacteria; Bacillati; Bacillota; Clostridia; Lachnospirales; Lachnospiraceae.